UACAUGGGGUGCAAACGUUGCUCGGAAUUAUUGGGCGUAAAGGGCGCGUAGGCGGCCUGCUAAGUCGAACGUGAAAUCCCCGAGCUCAACUCGGGAACUGCGUCCGAUACUGGCAGGCUUGAAUCCGGGAGAGGGAUGCGGAAUUCCAGGUGUAGCGGUGAAAUGCGUAGAUAUCUGGAGGAACACCGGUGGCGAAGGCGGCAUCCUGGACCGGCAUUGACGCUGAGGCGCGAAAGCCAGGGGAGCAAACGGG
This 253-nucleotide ribosomal RNA is filed under the name uncultured bacterium. Its description in RNAcentral is "partial 16S ribosomal RNA". It matches the Rfam family "Bacterial small subunit ribosomal RNA", at positions 524 to 776 of the family's 1533-position model. The record is from RNAcentral.